GAUGAACGCUAGCGAUAGGCUUAACACAUGCAGGUCGAGGGGCAGCAUGGUCUUAGCUUGCUAAGACUGAUGGCGACCGGCGCACGGGUGCGUAACGCGUAUGCAACUUGCCUCACAGAGGGGGAUAACCCGUCGAAAGACGGACUAAUACCGCGUACACUCUAUUUUGGGCAUCCAAGGUAGAGGAAAUGAAAUUCGCUGUGAGAUAGGCAUGCGUCCCAUUAGCUAGUUGGUGAGGUAACGGCUCACCAAGGCGACGAUGGGUAGGGGAACUGAGAGGUUGAACCCCCACACUGGUACUGAGACACGGACCAGACUCCUACGGGAGGCAGCAGUGAGGAAUAUUGGUCAAUGGGCGAGGGCCUGAACCAGCCAAGUCGCGUGAAGGAUGACUGUCUUAUGGAUUGUAAACUUCUUUUGUAGGGGAAUAAAGAGGGGCACGUGUGCCCCAGUGAAUGUACCCUACGAAUAAGCAUCGGCUAACUCCGUG
RNAcentral lists this ribosomal RNA (490 nucleotides) under uncultured bacterium. RNAcentral's name for it is "partial 16S ribosomal RNA". It matches the Rfam family "Bacterial small subunit ribosomal RNA", at positions 28 to 507 of the family's 1533-position model. The record is from RNAcentral.